This 554-nucleotide ribosomal RNA is filed under the name uncultured bacterium. RNAcentral's name for it is "bacterial SSU rRNA". It matches the Rfam family "Bacterial small subunit ribosomal RNA", at positions 773 to 1319 of the family's 1533-position model. The record is from RNAcentral.
ACGGAAUAGAUACCCGGGUAGUCCACGCCGUAAACGAUGGAUACUUGUCGUUGGAGGUAUUGACCCCUUCAGUGACGAAAGCUAAACGCGUUAAAGUAUCCCGCCUGGGGAGUACGGUCGCAAGAUUAAAACUCAAAGAAAUUGACGGGGGCCCGCACAAGCGGUGGAUCAUGUGGUUUAAUUCGAUGCAACGCGAAGAACCUUACCUACUUUUGUACAUGUACUGGAAGUGCUCCUAGAAAUAAGGGCAGCCCGCAAGGGCCGGUACACAGGUGCUGCAUGGCUGUCGUCAGCUCGUGUCGUGAGAUGUUGGGUUAAGUCCCGCAACGAGCGCAACCCUUGCCUUUAGUUGCCAGCAUUUAGUUGGGCACUCUAAAGGGACUGCCGACGUUAAGUCGGAGGAAGGUGGGGAUGACGUCAAGUCCUCAUGGCCCUUAUAAGUAGGGCUACACACGUGAUACAAUGGUAACUACAAAGAGCAGCAAAACGCGCGAGCUGAAGCUAAUCUCGUAAAAAGUUAUCUAAGUUAGGAUUGGAGUCUGCAACUCGACUCC